This 492-nucleotide ribosomal RNA is filed under the name uncultured bacterium. RNAcentral's name for it is "partial 16S ribosomal RNA". It matches the Rfam family "Bacterial small subunit ribosomal RNA", at positions 29 to 507 of the family's 1533-position model. The record is from RNAcentral.
AGUGAACGCUGGCGGUAGGCCUAACACAUGCAAGUCGAACGGCAGCACAGUAAGAGCUUGCUCUUACGGGUGGCGAGUGGCGGACGGGUGAGGAAUACAUCGGAAUCUACUUUUUCGUGGGGGAUAACGUAGGGAAACUUACGCUAAUACCGCAUACGACCUACGGGUGAAAGCAGGGGAUCUUCGGACCUUGCGCGAUUGAAUGAGCCGAUGUCGGAUUAGCUAGUUGGCGGGGUAAAGGCCCACCAAGGCGACGAUCCGUAGCUGGUCUGAGAGGAUGGUCAGCCACACUGGAACUGAGACACGGUCCAGACUCCUACGGGAGGCAGCAGUGGGGAAUAUUGGACAAUGGGCGCAAGCCUGAUCCAGCCAUACCGCGUGGGUGAAGAAGGCCUUCGGGUUGUAAAGCCCUUUUGUUGGGAAGGAAAAGCAGCAGGUUAAUACCCCGCUGUUCUGACGGUACCCAAAGAAUAAGCACCGGCUAACUUCGUG